GACGAACGCUGGCGGCGUGCUUAACACAUGCAAGUCGAACGGAAAGGCCCCCAUCUUGGUGGGGGUGCUCGAGUGGCGAACGGGUGAGUAACACGUGGGUGAUCUGCCCUGUACUUCGGGAUAAGCUUGGGAAACUGGGUCUAAUACCGGAUAGGACCAUGGUUUAGUGUCUCAUGGUGGAAAGAUUAUUGUUUUGGUGCAGGAUGAGCUCGCGGCCUAUCAGCUUGUUGGUGGGGUAAUGGCCUACCAAGGCGUCGACGGGUAGCCGGCCUGAGAGGGUGGACGGCCACAUUGGGACUGAGAUACGGCCCAGACUCCUACGGGAGGCAGCAGUGGGGAAUAUUGCACAAUAGGCGCAAGCCUGAUGCAGCGACGCCGCGUGGGGGAUGACGGCCUUCGGGUUGUAAACUCCUUUCGUUAGGGACGAAGCCGCACUUUUUUUGGGUGUGGUGACGGUACCUUUGUUAAGAAGCACCGGCUAACUACGUG
RNAcentral lists this ribosomal RNA (489 nucleotides) under uncultured bacterium. RNAcentral describes it as "partial 16S ribosomal RNA". It matches the Rfam family "Bacterial small subunit ribosomal RNA", at positions 28 to 507 of the family's 1533-position model. The record is from RNAcentral.